This 249-nucleotide unclassified non-coding RNA is filed under the name Basidiomycota sp. RNAcentral's name for it is "partial contains small subunit ribosomal RNA and internal transcribed spacer 1". The stretch from base 1 to 47 matches the Rfam family "Eukaryotic small subunit ribosomal RNA", at positions 1785 to 1831 of the family's 1831-position model. Lineage: Eukaryota; Fungi; Basidiomycota. The record is from RNAcentral.
AAAGUCGUAACAAGGUUUCCGUAGGUGAACCUGCGGAAGGAUCAUUAACACAAAUCCAUUCUCAAACAAACCCGUGCUCUUGUAUAAAAACAAACCUGUUCUGGAGUAGUCGCAAGACUAUGAAGGAAAUUACUUUUUAACCCCUUUAACCCCUUUUUUGCUAAUUGCAACUGACGUAUGUCUUCUGCGCAAGCAGUGGAUGAAAUACGAAACGCUGAACAAUUCUUAGCAAUGGAUGUCUAGGCUCUC